This 836-nucleotide ribosomal RNA is filed under the name Bacteroidales bacterium. Its description in RNAcentral is "bacterial SSU rRNA". It matches the Rfam family "Bacterial small subunit ribosomal RNA", at positions 636 to 1484 of the family's 1533-position model. Lineage: Bacteria; Pseudomonadati; Bacteroidota; Bacteroidia; Bacteroidales. The record is from RNAcentral.
AAGGUCUUGAAUUUAGUUGAGGUGGGCGGAAUACGUUAUGUAGCGGUGAAAUGCAUAGAUAUAACGUAGAACACCGAUUGCGAAGGCAGCUCACUAAGCUAACAUUGACGCUGAUGGACGAAAGCGUGGGGAGCGAACAGGAUUAGAUACCCUGGUAGUCCACGCCGUAAACGAUGAUUACUCGUUGUGCACGAUACACUGUGCGUGACUGAGCGAAAGCAUUAAGUAAUCCACCUGGGGAGUACGUUCGCAAGAAUGAAACUCAAAGGAAUUGACGGGGGCCCGCACAAGCGGAGGAACAUGUGGUUUAAUUCGAUGAUACGCGAGGAACCUUACCUGGACUUAAAUGUAGAUUGACCGGUUUAGAAAUAGAUCUUCCCUUCGGGGCAAUUUACAAGGUGCUGCAUGGUUGUCGUCAGCUCGUGCCGUGAGGUGUCGGGUUAAGUCCCAUAACGAGCGCAACCCCUAUCGUUAGUUGCUAGCAGGUAAUGCUGAGGACUCUAGCGAGACUGCCACCGUAAGGUGAGAGGAAGGUGGGGAUGACGUCAAAUCAGCACGGCCCUUACGUCCAGGGCUACACACGUGUUACAAUGGCCAGUACAAAGGGCAGCUACCUGGUGACAGGAUGCUAAUCUCUAAAGCUGGUCUCAGUUCGGAUCGGAGUCUGCAACUCGACUCCGUGAAGUUGGAUUCGCUAGUAAUCGUAGAUCAGCAAUGCUACGGUGAAUACGUUCCCGGGCCUUGUACACACCGCCCGUCAAGCCAUGGAAGCCGAGGGGACCUGAAGUUCGUAACCGCAAGGAGCGACCUAGGGUAAAAUUGGUAACUAGGGCUAA